AACGAACGCUGGCGGCAGGCUUAACACAUGCAAGUCGAACGGGCACCUUCGGGUGUCAGUGGCAGACGGGUGAGUAACGCGUGGGAACGUACCCUUCGGUUCGGAAUAACCCAGGGAAACUUGGGCUAACACCGGAUACGUCCGCAAGGAGAAAGAUUUAUCGCCGAAGGAUCGGCCCGCGUCGGAUUAGCUAGUUGGUGGGGUAAUGGCCCACCAAGGCGACGAUCCGUAGCUGGUCUGAGAGGAUGANCAGCCACACUGGGACUGAGACACGGCCCAGACUCCUACGGGAGGCAGCAGUGGGGAAUAUUGGACAAUGGGCGAAAGCCUGAUCCAGCCAUGCCGCGUGAGUGAAGAAGGCCUUAGGGUUGUAAAGCUCUUUCAGCGGGGAAGAUAAUGACGGUACCCGCAGAAGAAGUCCCGGCUAACUUCGUG
RNAcentral lists this ribosomal RNA (435 nucleotides) under uncultured bacterium. RNAcentral's name for it is "bacterial SSU rRNA". It matches the Rfam family "Bacterial small subunit ribosomal RNA", at positions 29 to 507 of the family's 1533-position model. The record is from RNAcentral.